GGAUGCACCGCAGCCGAGGCGGUGGCUGCUGGCAGCAGGAACGCGCGCGCUGGAGCCACUUCCCCAGCAGCUCCGGAACACCGGAGCGAGGCUGAGGGCUGUCCUGUCACGCGCGGGGCGCGUCGUCAUUCCCGGGUGUCCGCAGCAGCGCCGAACUUCACACUGGGGUGCUUUGUUCUGGGGAAAAAAGAAAAAAAAAAACAGAUUUGAAAAAAUUAUUUAUUUUCCUGGCGGAACCCGUGCAGGCUGGAGCUGCGCCCCGCGGCACAUCCGCGCCCCGCUGAGUGUCGCCGUCCUCAGAGGGCACUGCGGCCGCGUCCCCAACGGCUGCAACGGUCGCUGCCGCGCGCGAAGCCCGUGCUGCCCGCCCCGCCCCGCCCGGCAGCGCAGCCCGCGCUCCGCGUGCUCUGUGAGGGACCAUUGCGUUGUUCGCUGCCCCUGCAGCAAACAGCGGGCGUGAAGUGCUCGGAGGUACCGCAGUUCUCGGUGAACGUUGGCUCGGGUGGGGUACGGCUCCGUUGACACCGUGCAGCCCUUGAGUAAGGUACUGCGUUUGCUAGAGACGUGCUGCGAGGUCUGUGCCGCGUUUGCCAGGACUCGGACCAGAAGGUUUGUCACAGCUGAUGUCUCCGAACUUCACCUGCACCUUUGCGUACUUGGUUUGGCUGUAACAGCAAUCUCACCAACGGAGGAAGAAAUAUCAACACGAACAUCAUGUUCUUGCUGGCUGAGGACUCCACAUGCUCACAAUGUACUGUUGCCACCUUCUCACUCAUCUCCAGUCUGCAGUGCGUACCCCAACCGGUGGAUCCGGAGGAGCAGUGGAAGGGUGAACGUAACACCAAAAAUCUCCACCCUCCGUUCCAGUCUCUUUCUCUAAAAAACAAGCAAGGGGAUGUGACCAGCAGAGGGGAUGCGACUUGACAUGGAAUUCCAUUUUCUCAAAGGAUAUCUACCAGAAGUUAGGAUUCACAUCGCAAGGGACAAGUACUGCAAAGGUGUGUGAAAGCCAAUGCUCAGUUGGACAAAAUAUUUUCCUCAGUCGCAGCCACCCAGACUCAGUCUGUAGCCUUGAAUACAGGAGCACUGUCCCAACAAAUUAGAGCAACAGCUUCCAG
This 1118-nucleotide long non-coding RNA is filed under the name Gallus gallus (chicken). RNAcentral's name for it is "long non-coding RNA NONGGAT008561". Lineage: Eukaryota; Metazoa; Chordata; Aves; Galliformes; Phasianidae. The record is from RNAcentral.